RNAcentral lists this small RNA (5690 nucleotides) under Arabidopsis thaliana (thale cress). RNAcentral's name for it is "ATSL204560". Lineage: Eukaryota; Viridiplantae; Streptophyta; Magnoliopsida; Brassicales; Brassicaceae. The record is from RNAcentral.
CAAAGGCUUUAACCCUUCUUCUUUAGCUAACAAGAACCUCAUUCUUUUCUUUAACAUUCUCAAAACCUUUACUAGAUUUUUUCCAACUUCUUUAGCUUACUUCUCCUAGAAUUCUUUCCCUUUCCUUAUCAACAAUGAAUUCACCCUUUUCUUUUAAACACAUCCCAACCCAUGAUAUAAGCGCCCACCUAGUCCUAUCCAGUCCGAAAAAUGUGAACUAGAACUACAUGAGACACUAUCUCUGUCGUUACGAACCUAACACUUUCUACCAAGCUCUAUCGAAAUAAGACCUCACAAACACUCACAAGUGAUAUAGGGUUUGAAAGAAAGUUUAGGUUUGGGUUCGGGUUAACUACUCUAAUAAGGAGAGUCAGCUACUUGGACUAACAAGAGUGUUUAAAAUGAGUAAGAAAAUCCAAGUAUUUUAGGGUAUCCAUGAGUUCAAAUUCGAUGCCAAGACAUGAUAAUUCUAAAUCAGAUUCAAGUUCAAAUUGAUAGGGAAUGGUAUCAGAUCCUAAUAGUGUGGUCGAGUAGAGCAAUCUAGGCAUGGUGCAGUUUUACUUCAAUUUCAAUGGCUACGCAUCAGACAACUAACAACGAGGGCACUGAGCUUAUCUGGUGAACCAAAAUGCUUACAAGGCUAUCUCAUCAUUAUCCCCUAUGCAAAUGCAAAAAUCCUACAUGAAACACUCUAGACUCGAUCCUAAAUGCUUACAACUACAUGAGCACUCUAUUUUUGUGAAAUCAUUUUCUGAAAUUUUUCAUUUUUUUUGUUUUUUCUAUGCCUUAGAUGAAUGCAGACUCAAAAUUAUAUACAAUGCAACACACACUUCCUGAGCCCUCCCCCAAACUUAAAUCACACAGUCCAUUGUGUGACCAAAUUUGGAAGAGAGUACUCAGGACAAAACACAUCACAAAAACAAAAUAAAAACAAGAGAUGGUAUAUUACAAAAUAAAAACAAGAGAUGGUAUAUUACAAUGGUGGAGUGAGGUGCAUACCUAAGUGGAAGAAGGAGCGGAGUUGGUCGUCAAUAGCUGCCUAUGAUUGCUCCCAGGCCAUCGAAGAAUCUCCCUGUUGUGUCUCAGCUUCCCCCUGGGGGUACUCGACCUCUGCUCCUUCGUCGCGGCCAGCACCGCUCAGAUGAUACUCGACCUCUCUUCUUCUGCUGCGGCCAGCACCGCGGUCGCGUAAGCUACGCGACAGGAGAAGUCGUGUACUCCUACUGCCAGACCGAGCGAGUGCAGCCUUCUUUUUUCUCCCGAGCUCCCGAGGCUCGAAUGAUGAAUGCCUCGCACGGACUGGUGGGACUGCUCGAUCACUAGGCUCAGGCCUGUGGUGACUUGGCUCAGGCCUGUGGCGACUUGGCUCUGGCGCAUCAUAUCUCCUCGAGGGCAUGUCCUGAGGAGGCUCUCCCUGCGGAAUAGCUGUGGUAGAAGAGGAGCAGCUUAGCUUGUCUGUCAGAAACUUGAUGGCCUUGAAGCACUUGAUGAGUAGCCUAUCUUGUUUCUUGCACCACCUCUGCAACUUACUGUUGUUUCUGUGAGCUUCGCUCAAGCUCUUGCUCUCCCGCGCUGGAGGUACGUGCUCUCUGAAAUGAUAUAUGCUCGUAUCGUACUCCUUCUCCCUAUCCUCAUCUGUCUCAGCAAUCUCAUCCUCUGUAGCUUCCGUCGUUUGUCAUCAGUCGGAUGAGCGCUCUCAAUGUAGAGGUAAUCACGCGCAGGUUUGAAGUCAAUGUUUUCACUCUGAAGUAUGGUUGUGGCCUCGAUGCAGGGAAGCCGAAUGUUGGCUGUUCGGGUCAAGGAGUGCUCGAAUUUGUAGCGAUAGAAAUCGCCAACCAUGUCGUGCUCCAGAAACUCACAACGACGCAAAUGAUCUAAAUCCAUCAUCCUCGGAUCAAACCCCGGAGACGUGAGAGGUACACCACAUGCAAUCAGAAUCGGUGUCACAACACCUCCUACACAAAGGGCUCCUCGCGCCCUCUUCUUCCCUUUGGUGUGCGCCCACUUCCUGUAUCCACACAGGUGGGUCAACAGAAGCAUAACCGGUGGUGCAUCAUUGAGGUCGCCCUUCAGGACCUUCUUCACCUUUGUUCUGCGGAGAAUGCCCUUGAGUGCAGAUUCAAUCAUCUCCAUGUCUGUGUUAGACACGGUGCCUGUAGAUUCCCUAGAGUACAGAACAUUCGCUACAGAGCGCUGAUAGUAGCGGAUCACAGUGCUUCAAAUCUGGUUGCUCUUAGACCUCGCUGAGUUGAGCGCCAUAUCGUUCCCAAAGGUUAACCACAAAUCCUUCAACUCUUCCCUCUCGAACUUGGGUUUAGUUCCCUUUCCACUGGGGAAACCAAACAAUCCUUCCAAGCUCUUGAUAGAUAGCUGGUAACGCUGCUCGUUCACUGAAAAGGUCAAGAACUCCAACCCUUCACUCUCCAGCUCAUCUGAUGUAAGUCCCUGAUACAUCUCCACUUGUAGAGUGGAGAGAAACUCUAUUGUUUCCUUCUUGGAAGCUAUGUACGUCCUCCGGUAGCCCCAGCUGGGCUAAAGUCUCAUAACAGAGGUACCUCGUUCCCCAGAAGUCGUUUAGAUCGAAAAGUCUUAUGUACUCCUCCACUGUAACUUCAUCAGGCCUGUUCAACAGCUUCGUCUCUCUGUGCCAUGACUCGGGCUCAUACUUGACGUCAAUAUCUUCGUCGAUCAACUCAUAUCUGAUGGUCAUUGCUCUCUUUCCUCUAGCAAUCUCAGCUCUCCUCUCAUUGCGUCGAGCUACUGAGCGUUGGGUCUCAGCUCUGAAGCUCUCAUAAGCUUGUCGCUCUCUCUCUGGUCCAGUUGACCAAGAUUCAGCUUCAUCGACGUUGUAAUCCCCAUCCAUGGAGGAUUCGCCGCUGUAGUUACUCAUAUUGAUUUCCUGAAAAAGAAUGUAACUCAAAGCCAAAUAUCAAUAUGUUAGUCCGAAUAAAACGCAAACACUAAACCGGUCAAGUACGCGGUCGAGUAAAACGGUCGAGUACAGUGAGAUUGUGGCUUCGAGUAUAGCGGUCGAGUGAAAGUCAAUGAGAGACGGUAAUAGCGUGGUCGAGUGAAUGGUGGCGAGGCUUGUUCGGUUGAUUGCAACGGCGGUUUGAGGAGCGGUCGAGUGAAGAGAUGAACGGAGGCGAAGUGAAUGGCAAGGUCGAGUGAACGGUGGAUAGUUGAGAGAUCGUGAAGCCAGUCCGGUGGCUGAGUGAACGGAGGCGACGGAAGCACGGUGAAUGGCGAGAAACUCCGGCGAAGAUGUUGAGGCGAAGCGUAAAGUGGUCGAGUGAAGGAGAGACGGUGAGAGAGUACGCGAAGCUGGAACGGCGAGGAGCUCCGGCGAAGUCGAGUAAAUGAAGAUGAAGAUGAAGCACGGAGAGGUCGAGUUGCGGUCAAGUGAGAAGGAUACAACGGUGAGACGGUGAAGCUUCCGGCGAAGGGAAGGGCGGAGUGGUCGAGUGAACGGCGAGUGGUGAGAAGGAAGAGAUGGCAAAAUCGAGUACCGUCUUCGAGUGAAGGAGAGAGUGAAGGCGGUGGCGCGAACGACGACGGUUGUUUUGUGGUCGAGUGAAGGAGGGAGACGAAGCCGGAGGGGUGAGAUCGAGUGUCUUUGUGUGGUCGAGUGUUUGGAGAGGAAGAGAGAUGGUGAGGUUUGGUCGAGUGAGUGUUGUGAGGAAUAGAUGGCGUCGGUGGGAAGAGAUGAGGUUGGAUCGAGUGGCUGUGAUGAAGCCUUGGGAUUUCCUUAUCACUAAAAACGCGUGGGGGGGACAAAGAAGAGAGAAGGUGGGCCACACUUGGUCUGUUUGUCCUAAAGCACUGUUCCCUGUUGACUAGAACCUUCUAUAAUCCUUUGUAAACUUGUUAAACUCCCUGCAACUCUCUGUAGCUUCUGUUGGUCGAGUAUAAGUAUAAUUUCAAAAUUUUGGUUUUUUAAAAUCAUCACUAAUACUCGACCAACUUACUCGACCUCAUGGCCUCUGAGUGCAACAGAAGUUUUUCAAAUUCUUGAAUUCUGACAUACUCGAUCCCCUGUUGCUCUGUAGAGUAAGAUUUUUAAAUUUUUACUCUACCUCCACGUUGUUUCUCUGUUCCUGAGAAUCACAAACACAACCAAAAACAAAUCAAAAAGAACAAGAAAAUAAAAGUUUUAUUUACAGAAACAGUCUUGGGAAUUCCUCCCAAGUGAGCUUGUUUAAAGUCUCUAGCUUGACUCCUCACACUCAUUAAGAAGAAAAUGGGUGAUAGAGAACAUCUGCAUAGUCUUCUCUGAUCUCAUCAUCAUAUUCAGCAUCCUCUCUUGAGAGAUGUAUAGCAGAAUACUCAAUUCUUUUCCUCGAAAUAGGCCUCUUUCUCUUCUGGUGGAUAAUUUAUCUCCUCAGACCAUCUUGAAGUAAUCUUUUUUCUUAGGAUAGUGUUAUUCCCGCAUUUUGAUUGAGCUAUCUCUUGCAUCUGAUCCAGUUUACUCUUAAGUUCCUCAACCAUCUGAGCUAGCUUCUCUAUGGUUUCUUCUUGCUCAUCAGAUUUCUUUUUGAGAUCUCGCAAAUCAGGUGUAGAGGUUGUGCUUGGUCUGGUGAUUGAAUUCGAAGGUUGAGGUUGAGCCAUCAUCUUUUCUUCUACAGCUGUCCUUUGCAAAGUUUCGUUGAUGUCAAACUGCAACUUGAUGUGCUUCCCAAGGUUAAGAUUUAUUCUCCCGUCUUUGACAUCUAUCAUCGCUCCCACGGAGGCUAAGAAAGGUCUCCCUAGGAUUAGAGGAUCCUUAGGUUCUGCUUCCAUCUCAAGCACAACGAAAUAUGUAGGUACUUCCACUCCAUUAAUCAUUACUGGCAGAUCUUGUAGAAGGCCAAAGGGUUUUCUUGAAGACCUAUCAGCAAGGAUCAAAGUCAGGUCGCAAGGCCUGUACUGAGUGAAUUCCAGCUUCCUUGCCACGGAGAGUGGCAUUAAGCUUACUGAAGCUCCCAAAUCACAAAGACAUUUGCUGAAAACCAAUUGACCAAUGGAACAUGGUAGAGUGAAAGUUCCUGGUUCUUCCAGUUUUUCUUGAACACUCCUCUUAACAGUGGUCCUAGACGGAAUAGCAUCACAUUCGUCUUCUGAAUCUUGAUGAAUCUUGAUCCUUUUCAGAAUUGACUUUCUCACAUCUUUGUGAGGAUCCGGGAUUAGGUUGAGAACUUCAAUUAGAGGCAUCACCGCUUCCAUCUCAUCAAGCUGCUUCUCUGCAAAAGAGAAUUGUAUCUUUCUAUCCAUGCUUUCCUGAAUUUCCAUGGAAGAGCACGUGAAGGUAAUGGUGCUGGCUUGAAUCGUUUUACCAUCCUCUCAAUGAUGGCUGCUUUCUCGUCUAGGUUGGACUAGGUUUGAAAACGGGAUCCAGCUGAAUGGUCGAGUUCAACAACUGAAAUUUCAAUCUGAGUAGAAGCCUCCCCGUCCUGAACAUCACUGUCCUCGGUGAUUGAUGUGGAGACAUGUCGAGUAGGCAGCUCUCGAUCAUGACAGAUGGUGAUAGUGUGAGCGGUGUCGUAUUCCUUCGGGUUCUGUAUGGACUUUCCUGGAAGUCCUGUUACUUUUGGAGCAGAAGUUGACGCUGUUUGUCCUUCCAUGUAUCUGACCUUAGAGGUAAGUGCCUCAAGUUUGAUAUUCAGAUCGUUGAAAGUGCAAUCAACCUUGUUGUGGAUUUCUGCCAUCUUUUA